GAAUCCUGAUGGCAAUGAGGCAUCUUCAACAAAUCUCCCACGUCCCCUCCAGUUGGGGUCUGCUGGUGACAAAUCAUCCUCCUGCCAGUUCAUGUCUACAUCUUAUGUCUUGUCCUCACCUGUGUCUAGUUAUAAUAUGAGAAACAUCAGGCACCAAAUACCUUCUGGUGCCCAGCACAUCAGUGCAAUUAUUUUAAUAGAUUUAGACAGACUUAAUUGGGACAAAAGGUGUCAGAAUGCUUGAGUAACCAACUGUAAAUCCUACAUAACCAACAUUAUUAAGGAUGAAGGAAGCUUCUGAGAGAAAGAGUAACUCCUUAAAAGAAACCCCAAAACAACCAGUCUACCACACUUGGUGUCUUAGGCCAGGCUGCUGUGACAACAUACCAUAAACCAGAGGGCUUAACAGCACAAAUUUAUUUCCAUGCAGUUCUGGAGGCUGGAGGUGUGAGAUCCAGGUGCCAGCAAGGUUGGAUUUUGGGGCGGAUGCUCUUGCUGGCUUGUACAUGACCGCCAUCUUGUGUGUCUUCAUACGACAGACAGAUUGAGCUCUUUUCUUGUAAGGAGAGUAAUCCCAUUGUGGAGCCCUACCCCCAUCUGGCCCUAAUGACUUCCCAAGGGCCCCACCUCCUAAAACCAUCCCAUUGGGGGAGUAAGCCUUGCACAUGUGAAUUCUGGGGGGCUGGGGGGGAGACAUGAUUCUCUCCAUGCACCCAGCCUUCCUGUUGUGAUAAACAGCAUCAUCCAGACACUCAAACCAGAAUCAUGGAGCGGAUGCCUGACUCUUCCUUCUCCUCAUCCCCCCACAUUCAGUACAUCUUCAGGCUUUGUCAAGGCAUAUACUUCCAGUCUGCCCCAUAGUCUCCAUCAUGGCAUCCACCAUCCCAGACGCAGCCGCCACCAUCAACCUGGACCAUGAUCACAAUCUACUGCUGUGUUCACUCUCUCUUUCUUAUCAUUCUCCAAGCACUGAUGCAGAUGGAGCCUCCAUGACUCCAUCUGCAGGGACUCGCUUGAAUGCCGCGGGCUCUAAGCAACUGUACAUCACCCCACUGCACCCUCCAAGACCCGAUGAUCUCAUGCUUCAGCCUCCCCACGUCUCCCUACCUGUCACCUGCCCUCCUGCAUCAGGCACAUCACACUUCCCUGGGCUCUUUGGACCCACUCAGUCCUUCCUGUAUCCAAGAGAUGGAUCAGAAGCAAUAAUUAUAGAAAUGACAGGAGACAAAUGUAGUCCGCCAAACACAUUGUCAGAAAGAAAUUAUGACAUUGGAGGUCUCAACAGAAAACAAAACAAAACAAAACAAAAAAUGGAACCAAUCCUAGACAUACUCUAGUGGAUUUCUCAAACCAGAUAAAAUAAAGAAAACUCUCCAAGGGUCUACAGGGGAAUAAAAAUAAAACAACAAAAGAGUCAAACUGGUCUAGCUUCAUUUCAUCUCGGACAUUAGAAAUGACACAGUGGUAUUGGAUUGCCUGGCAUUGAUAGGGGGCAAAAAAAAAUCAUUAUUAAUUCCACAGAGGGACUUUUGGGGAAUGAGCCAUUUCUCCCCAAAUACCAUUACAAUAAUUUCAAAUACAGUUUAUGCAAUCCAUGGCAUUUCACUCAGUAAUUGUGCAGUGCUGCAAAGCUGUGUUGCGUACAGGGAUCUGUGUUAAGGAGUCCUACAGUGAAAUCUUUAUCCCCUAAAACAGACAGUUUUUGUCACGGUUGAUUAUUGCAUCCGAAAUACUUAGAACACAGAAAGAGGGUUUCAUUCUUAAUCCAUGCUUCAAAAAAAAAAAAAAAAAGAAGGCAAAACAGAUGAUGAUUUACAAAUGUCUUGCUAAAACUAGGGUGCAGAGAACGUAUCCGUGCCCUCACAUCUACAAAGCCAUGGGACAGGAACAAAAUACCCUUAACAGGAUUUUCUGACUAUGACCAAAUAUAUUUGCAUUUUCCUCGGUGAGGGACAAAACCAGAAUUGGCUGAUUUUAAUGGUUUCAAUACUUCCCUCUGUAGCUUAGUGCCCCCUUCAAGUGGGGGGAAAGUAUUCCCACAUUAAAAUUUAGAAUGAAAAACCUUUUUAAGAAUUUAUGUAUUUUCUGAAAUCCCCUCAAAUGUCAUGUGCUACAAAAAAAAAAAAAAAAACAAAAAAAAACAUUUGUUUGGGAAAGACAAGGUGGGGUAUUUUAAGAACUGAGCAUCUAUGACUGUGCUGACAAUGUUAUCCUCUAUAAUUUCAGAAAUUCGGGAUGCUCCUUUUACUUUACCGAGGACCCCGCCUGACACGUAGGACAUGGCAUUGGCGUGAACCAAACUCUCAGAGACCUACGCCUGCACCAUCCAUGCUCAAGGUCUUGGCUUCCAAGAUUGGGCCACCAUCUCCAGAGGCAGCAGAAGGAGCUUCCCUGGAAGGUGGUCUCUGAUGGCAGUUGCAUUUCAUUUAUUAGAGAGAGAGAGCAUGAUCAGGAGGCAGAGAGAGAAGCAGGCUUCCCGCAGAGCAGGGAGCCCAAUGCAGGGACUUGAUCCCAGGACCCUGGGACCGUGACCCGAGCCGGAGGCAGACGCUGCAGAGGUCCCAGAACGCGGGUGAGGCUUCAGCAAGUGGAAUAAACCCAGAGCUGAAUGAAGACAUGAAGCACAGUGUCUCGGAGGACACGAGGCAAUUGCGUGGCGUCCCUCGUUGGAUGCUCUUCCGUGGCCAUCAGGCGGCUGUGAACACGGACGCGGCCAGACCGUGCCGUGUGCCGAUGACACCUGAGUGCAUUGCACCUGCUUCUUUGGUGCCGUGGGGCGGCCGUAACAAAUGUCCCCGCGCUUGGUGGCCCAGCACGAUGGAAGUGUGUUCUCUCCCAGCUCCGGAGCCUGGACGCCCAAAACCACCGUGUGGGCAGAGCUGGGUCCUCCCGGAGACUACGAGGGCACCUCUGUGGCCGGGCUUCUGUCCCAGGAAGAUUAAAACGACAAAACAGCAAGAAUACACAUGAAAGUACUUUGAACGGAAACUGAAAAAUCCGUUGGUCCGAGGGGAACGUGGUAGAAGAUUAAGUGGACGAGGAUGCUCCGUGGGCUGCAGGAAACACAGCGCUCCGUGUUGGACAGAAAGCACCCGGACCAGACUGGGUACCCACCGUGCUAGACUCAGAGUCAUCGCUUUCACAUUGUUUGCUCGGGGCAGGGACGGUGCCCAACGAGCCCGUUACUCCCUUACAAACAAACCCAGGGCCAUCCGUUUCCCUGGUGCAUUUCCCUGUUCAGACCACAGCAGGAUGGAUUUCCGGGGACUCUCAGAUGGUAAUGUUUAAGGCGAAACAAGAAGUCUUCUGUGCACCUGCUCCGGAAGACGAGUCUCGGGAGCAUUGCCCACUGGGAAAACCCAUCACGGGCAGCCCACAUUUUGUGUUGACGGGCUUGUGCACAGCCAAGCGGUGACCUGGCCAUCCUUGUGACCGACUGGAACCAACCAAGACGUGGAGGGACCGGGAUGAGGGGUUCAGGUGGCUCCUAACCUGGUGGGAGCUACUAGGCUGGAUCAUAGGGGGGACUUUUUAAAUCUCUGGUUUCACCCCUGUAGGUAUUGGCCCGCAUGGUGCCCGGCAAAGUCAGCUCCUGGGUGUGCUAGGAUCUGCCCACGGCAACGUCAUUGGUGAAGAUCUUUGCUUUGGGCACAACGGGGAUGAGCCGUCCUGGGGUGGGCGCCUUACCAGGAAUCUGUCUCCGCUUGGGGGGGACGACCAGCCUCUUUGUGUUGCUGAGAACAUGAUAGACCCUUUGGACUUUGGCUCUUCCAAACUAUGUCCCCUCUCUCCCCUGCAAACAGCCCCCGCCCUCCACCGCUAAAACCGCUACCCUCUCCAAAUGCAAGAAGAGAACUUGCCAUCCUAUAAGAUCCUAUAAGGGCUUUCUUUCUUUCUUUCUUUUUUAAAUUAAGAUGAGCGCCCUUGAAUUGGAAAUGUCUCUUCUUGCUGUAGAUUUUGAAGACACCAUUUUCUUCCUAAUUUCUCCACCUAUGGCCGCUCCUCGCGGUGGUAAUAGGACAUCACGCUGAAAUUUGGGACUAAUGUCUGAAGCUUUCUUACUGUUUUGUUUUGUUUUUUUUUUUAAUGACUGGCAUUUAAGACGACAUAUCGAAAACCAGCUCCUCACUGUCGGAUUCAAUUCUGGAUUAGAAGCACUGUUAACCGUUUCCGCGCAGACGACCUUAACAGAGCAGUUAGGUCCCAAGCAUGCUCCAAUGUAGGAGAAAAAAUAAAGGAAGUGGGGCCGGGAAGAGAGCUUGGCAUGGAUGGGUCUCGCCGCCGUUGAUUGCCGACCUGAUUUUAAAGUCAGACAUGGGAUCUGCUCCCCCCCUCGGGUGCUUUCUGCUGCGUAGCUACUCGUCCUUGAUUCGAAGACCUAUUAUUUCAAGUCAUACAAUCGUGGGUGGGACAAGUCCCCGCGAGUCCUUUAACCUGGGGCUCCCCGUGUCAGUGCCGAGAGUUUGACGGUCAGUGGAAGGCAGUGAGCUGGUCCCGGUGAGGGAUGGGCAGGUGCCUGACCCCCGCCCCCAACACACACACAUGCACACACGUGCACAUAAUACAAUUUUUAUUCGGGUGGUACCGCCUUGCCUUUCUGAGGGUGCCACCUACGUCCAUGUUUACUUCUUUUUUUAAAAAAUAUUUAAUUAUUUAUUUGAGAGAGAGAGCAGGUAGAGGAGCCAAGGGACAGAGAAUCUCAAGCAGACUCCGUGCUGAGUGACGAGCUGGAUGUGGGGCUCGAUCCCAGGACCCUGAGAUCGUGACCUGAGCUGAAACCAAGAGUUAGAUGCUUAACCGACUGCGCCACCCAGGUGCCCCCCCAUACCCUGUUUACUCCUCCCCUUUCAACCUGAAUGCUGUGUGUUUAUCUCUCUAACAAUCACACAGCCCCGGUUAGGACUCCCCAUACGGUGCAGAACUGCACCGAUGAGAUCAGACGCCUUUCCCUCGUCCGCACACGUGGCUGGGAAAGCGUGUGUUCUCCCCGGGAUUCAGAAACCCCCCUCAAUUCCGAGCUUGCUGAAGGUCAUCAGUGCCAGGUGGAUUUUAUCAAAGCCUUCCUCUGUCAAAUCAAGAUGACCCUGUCGGUUUUUCUUUCUCCCACCUGUUAAAAGGGUGGGUACCUGAUACCAGGUGGGUACCUGAAUUCCUUGUCAUGAAGGAGCCCGGAAUAAUGUCCACCAUAAGCCAUGCUUGGUCAGGAUCUGUCAUGCUUUUUCUACAUGUGAUUGGGGCGCCUGGGUGGCUCAGUUGGUGAAGCGUCUGCCUUCAGCUCAGCUAAUGAUCUCAGGGUCCUGGGAUCGAGUCCUGCAUCGGGCUCCCUGCUUACAGGGGACCCUGCUUCUCCCUCUCCUCCCCGCUCAUGCUCUCUCUCUCUGACAUAUAAAUAAAUAAAAUCCUUAAAAAAUGUAUUUCUAAAUGUGAUUUGCUGAUAUUUUGUUGAGGGUUUUUGCAUCUUUGCCCACAAAGGAGAUCCAUCUGUGGUUUACCUUUCUUGUCUUCUCUUUGUUUUUGCAUCUAGAUAAGUCUGCUCUCAUAAAAUGACUUGUAAGUCCAGUUUUCUUGAUAAUUUUUGUACAAUCUGUGAUAUGUUAUCACUAAAUGUGUCAGAGAAUUCAUCAGUAAAACCGUUUGGACCUGGAGUUUUCUUUUAAAAAAAAAUGCUUUUAGCUAACAAUUUGAUUGAUUUCAUCAAUACAGGACAACUCAAGUUACCUAUCUCGUCUUGCAUGGGUUUUCUGAGGAUGUGAGGAAUUGCUCUAUUUUAUGUAAACUGCUUAACUGAUAGGUAUACGUUUUUUGUUAUUAUUUUCUUACUAUCGUAUCACUUUCUGCAAGACCUGUGAUGAAGUUGGCCUUGGGGCUGAGCCAGAGCCGGCAAAAGAGGGGAAAAUAUCAGAAUCUUCCCAGUUGCCAAAUUCCACCUGUUCGGGUGAAUUCCAGGAGACAACAGAGAAAAGAAAUGUGUGUCUGUGUCCAAAUCCCCCUCUUCUUGAAAGGACACCAGUCACUGGAUUGGGGGCCCGCCCUUCCUAGCACAACCUCAUCUUCACUAAUUACAUCUGCAAAGACCGUAUCUCCAAAUGAGGCGCACGUCGAGAUGCAGCGGCGGCAUGUCCCCAAGCCCGUCUGUACCAUCUGCUCUCUCGGAGGGCUGCUGAGUGAUUCGGCCACAGCAUGCUGAUACAGAGCCACGUGGAUUCUCGGAGAUGCCCACUGCGGCCUCAUCGACAAGCUGGGCAGGGGACCGAGGCGGGUAGAGCACACAGGGCAGUUUGGACGAGACUUCAGUCACCCUCAGGUCACAGCCUGGGUGUCCUGGUGCUGGAUGAUGCACAGGGAGCGUGGACACAGUCACCAGUCCACGGAAGGCCCUCCCAGGAUGGCCAACAGUGAACAGAGAGGGUGUGUCUGAGCUGGGCAGUGUGCACUCCCGUGGAGACCCGCAUGGUGCAGCUCCAGGGUGGACCAGGAGCUCGCUCAGCUUGCACAAAGCUCCGGGUUCUGGAAGACUCCAGACACACUCACAGCGGGCUGGCCCCACUGCUGUCCACUGCCCCCUCCAUAUCGAAGCCCUAUGUCCACUGUCCUGCUGUGAGGAGCACGGCCCUGUCUCCCCUGGGUCCUGACUCCCCGGAGACGUGUGGCGAUGCCAGGUGUCGGGAGCAGGAGCUGGGUGGCCAGGAUGAGCACGCCUGCCCUUCCUGAGCUCGAGAAGGACGAGGGCCGCGGUCCGUGCCGCAGACGACACGGUGAGGAAGUCACACCACCCAGGUAUGUGAGCGCCUGGGGCUCCAGCUGAGGGUUUCCUCCUCCUCACCGUGGCAGACGUGGGGGACGUGGGGGAGGCGCUGGGUGUGGGGCCUGCGUCUAUAUCACUCACCAACCCCCCACCGUGAUGCAACACACGCAUGUUGCACGCACACACACGAGACGCAUACCUCUCACACAUGCGUGUGCAUCCACACCCGCUCUCACACUACGCACACGUCCACGUGCUCACACAUGUGGCCGCCCCCACCCUCAUCAUUACCAGGUUCCCUUCUUGUCACCGCCAUCUCUGAAAAGCUCCACUUUCUGUUCCGGAUAGAUGUCUCGUUAGUAAUGUCAUGUAAUUAUUAAUAAUUAUUACUUAUUAAUUUGUUAUAGAUAAGUAUUAA
This is a long non-coding RNA of Mirounga angustirostris (Northern elephant seal), 7163 nucleotides long. RefSeq lists it as uncharacterized. The transcript has 5 exons. NCBI's taxonomy places the organism in Eukaryota, Metazoa, Chordata, Mammalia, Carnivora, Phocidae. The record is from RefSeq and is a predicted model, not a curated record.